This 292-nucleotide unclassified non-coding RNA is filed under the name plant metagenome. Its description in RNAcentral is "partial contains small subunit ribosomal RNA, internal transcribed spacer 1, and 5.8S ribosomal RNA". The record is from RNAcentral.
UUUCCGUAGGUGAACCUGCGGAAGGAUCAUUAUUGAGUAAACCUGAUGUGGUUGUAGCUGGCCCUUUCGGGGGCAUGUGCACACCCGUCGUCUUUAUCUUUCCACCUGUGCACCUUUUGUAGACCUGGAUGUAACACUUUCCGAGGCAACUCGGUCGGGAGGAAUGCUGUCAGCUUUCCUUGAAUGUCCAGGCCUAUGUUUUCGUAUACCCCAAAGAAUGUAACAGAAUGUAUUAUUGGGCCCUGUGCCUAUAAACUAUAUACAACUUUCAGCAACGGAUCUCUUGGCUCUC